RNAcentral lists this transfer RNA (90 nucleotides) under Felis catus (domestic cat). It matches the Rfam family "tRNA". From Rfam's summary of the family: Transfer RNA (tRNA) molecules are approximately 80 nucleotides in length. Their secondary structure includes four short double-helical elements and three loops (D, anti-codon, and T loops). Lineage: Eukaryota; Metazoa; Chordata; Mammalia; Carnivora; Felidae. RNAcentral also lists the same sequence under 2 other names. The record is from Rfam by way of RNAcentral.
GUCUGGGUGGCUCAGUUGGUUGAGUGUCUGACUUCGGCUCAGGUCACAAUCUCACAGUUCAGUUCGUGAGUUUGAGUCCCAUACCUGAUG